UGGGGUAUCGCCAAGCGGUAAGGCACCGGUUUUUGAUACCGGAAUUCCCUGGUUCGAAUCCAGGUACCCCAGCCA
Molecule: transfer RNA, 75 nt
Filed under: Escherichia coli
Lineage: Bacteria; Pseudomonadati; Pseudomonadota; Gammaproteobacteria; Enterobacterales; Enterobacteriaceae
Also listed under: 6 other names
Description: tRNA-Gln
Rfam family: tRNA
About the family: Transfer RNA (tRNA) molecules are approximately 80 nucleotides in length.
Source: RNAcentral